RNAcentral lists this long non-coding RNA (3472 nucleotides) under Homo sapiens (human). RNAcentral describes it as "HSALNT0264937". Lineage: Eukaryota; Metazoa; Chordata; Mammalia; Primates; Hominidae. The record is from RNAcentral.
CUGACCUGCGCUCUCUCCACUCAAUUCAGGGGAGGGAGGGGUUUAGGCCUGGGCUAAGAGAGCUGCACAUUUCCCAGGGCACAGUGAUUAGUUGAGGGUGGGUCCCAGAGCCAAAUCUGCCCAAGAUCUUAGCCUGAAAGAGAAACCCUCCUGCUGAGUGACUGCACUGUGAGGCAGAAGUCCAGAGCUGUGGGUGGCCAUCCAGCCUCCAUUUGCGCCUGCCUGAGAAAGAAGCCACCAUGGGGGAAAUCGAGCUAAAAGACGGAGAGGGAGGUAAGAGAGGAUGACAUCACAUAAGCACCAGAUCUGGCCACCCCUGAAACUGGAACAACCCUAAGCUUUACAGCUACUACAUUCCCUUUUCUGCUGAAGUUGUUUUACACUGGGUUUCUGUCUCUUGCAACCAAGAGCUCUGUUAAAUAAAAACCUGACCCUAAGGAGAACGUUAGCUGGUUCACAAUUCCCUGUGCAAAACAGGCACAGGUCAGCUGCCCCAGCCUGUCGUUUGGAUAUUCCUUUCUAAGAACGCUCACUUUUGUUGUCUACAUGACCCAGAUAACCAAGGAGAAAGCAAAUCAACCGCCUUCCAGCGGCGCCUUCCUUGGCAGCAAGUGCUAAGAGAGAACACAAUGUGAGUACUCUGCCCUCUGGAGUCAGGGUUGAUCCUCAGCACUUGCUGUCCUGGGAGGCUGCACCUGUGACACUUGAGUGCCAGGUUCAACCCCUACUGCUGCUGCUGCUGCCUGAAUGGGGCCAUUUAGACUGUUGAGUGCUACAGCCUCAGCCCAGGAACCCGGAGCUUCACAUGAGGCAGAGCAGGGCCCCAGGGUCCCUGAAACUUGCCAGUUCAAACAGCAGAGGGGUGAGGACUCCCCAGUCAGCCCUGGUCUCAUACCUGCCUCUGCAUGGUCCCAGUCCAGCCUGAGGCCUUUGCUUUCUUUUUUGAAGGGAAGGUGAGGAGAGAGGGGGAAAAUAGAGGUGUUCUGACUAGACUUAGGAUUCCUGGCCUCUGCCUCUGACCGCCAGAGGACAGCCUCUGCAGUUGCCUCAUCUACUCAUGAAAACAGGCCUGUGACCCCAGGGGUGCUCUGAGGAUUCUUCCAGAAAACAUCUGCCCAGCUAGGACUACCUAGCUCACUGCCCAAAAAGGGUUCAUUUCCUUUCCUUCUGAAACAAAAGCGCUUAAUUGGAAGAGAAGCAUUGACUCAAGCUAUAGGAUAUGCCACUUAAAAUGUCCAGAUCUUGGCACAAGGCCUGGCGCACAGUGUGGGAGAGAAGGAGAGAAGAAGGUGGAAGGAAAGGAGGGAGGGGAAAGAGGAAGCAGGGAGGGAGAAAAUAAGACAAGGGCCUCCUCAUCUGGAUGCUUCCCUAGACCAAGAAGUGGCCCAGGUGGUGCCCAGGGGACAGGGAGUGGGCAAUAAAAGACAAUGGGGUGUAGGUGAUAGGGUGUAGAUGAUCAGGGUAUAGGUGAUCAGGAUGUAGGUGAUGGGGUGUAGAUGACUGGGGUAUAGAUGAUUGAAGUGUAGGUGAUGGGGUAUAGAUGAUCGAGGUGUAGGUGAUGGGGUAUAGAUGAUUGAGGUGUAGGUGAUGGGGUGUAGGUGAUGGGGGUCAAGGUGAUCAAGGUGUAGGUGAUGGGGUGUUGGUGAUUGGGGUGUAGGUGAUCAGGGUGUAAGUGAUGGGGUAUAGGUGGUGGGGUGUAGAUGAUCGGGGUGUAGGUGAUGGGUAUAGGUGAUGGGGUAUAGAUGAUCAGGUUGUAGGUGAUCGGGGUAUAGGUGAUCAGGUUGUAGGUGAUGGGGUGUAGAUGAUUGGGAUAUAGAUGAUCGAGAUGUAGGUGAUGGGGUAUAGAUGAUCAAGGUGUAGGUGAUGGGGUAUAGAUGAUUGAGGUGUAGGUGAUGGGGUAUAGAUGAUCGAGGUGUAGGUGAUGGGGUAUAGAUGAUUGAGGUGUAGGUGAUGGGGUAUAGAUGAUUGAGGUAUCGGUGAUGGGGGUCAAGGUGAUCAAGGUGUAGGUGAUGGGGUGUUGGUGAUUGGGGUGUAGGUGAUCAGGGUGUAAGUGAUGAGGUAUAGGUGAUGCAGUGUAGGUGAUCAGGGUAUAGGUGAUGAGGUGUAGGUGAUGGAGUGUAGAUGAUUGAGGUGUAGGUGAUGGGGUAUAGGUGAUUGGGGUGUAGGCAAUGGGGUGUAGGUGAUUGGGGUGUAGGCAAUGGGGUGUAGGUGAUUGGGGUCAAGGAGAUAGAGGUGUAGGUGAUGGGGUGUUGGUGAUUGGGGUGUAGGUGAUCAGGGUGUAGGUGAUUGGGGUGUAGGUGAUCGGGGUGUAGGUGACCAGGGUAUAGGUGAUCAGGGUGUAGGUGAUGGGAUGUAGGUGAUCAGGGUCAAGGUGAUUGAGGUGUAGGUGAUGGGAUGUUGGCAACCAGGGUGUAGGUGAUCAGGAUGUAGGUGAUGGGGUGUAGACGAUCAGGGUGUAGGUGAUGGGCUGUUGCUGACCAGGGUGUAGGUGAUCAGGGUGUAGGUGAUCCGAACUUCCUACUCAAUUCAGGCAACAGCUCCCAGCCUGAGGCAAAUACCCCCCGAGGCAGUCAGGGUCUCACCUCCCAUGGCUCUGACGCAGGCCUCCAAGGUGAGGAGAUGGAGGUAGCAGAGGUCACUUCACUCAGCUGUCACACACCCUGAGGGAACUCCUGUCACUGUUAUCCCACCUGCAAGUGAGGAGCCAGCAUUUCUCAUGCUCCAGGGUUGGCCACAGAGCCCAUUCAAGGGAGGGAGAAGAGCCUUCGGCCAGCGCAUCCUAACCGCAGAAAGCCAAGACCUCUGCAGAAAAAGAGACCAGGCCCAUAAAAAGAGAUCCAUGAGUUGAGUUCCCUGCCAUGCCACCCCCAGGCAUCUCUGCCCACCAGCCUGCAUGAGCCAGCCCCUCAGUGCAGGUUUUUCCAAUUGGCCGUUUGUUCUUCCACCCAACACUCAAGAUUUGCUUCUCAGCCUGGACAACAUAGCAAAACCCCAUCUCUACAAAAAAUACAAAAAUUAGCUGGGCAUAGUGGCACACACCUAUAGUCCCAGCUACUCGGGAGGCUGAAGUGGGAAGAUUACCUGAGCCUGGGAGGUCAAGGUUGCAGUGAGCCAUGAUCAUGCCACUGUACUCCAGCCUGGGUGACAGAGUGAGAACUUGUCUCAAAAACAAAAAAAGAGAGGAAGAUCUGCUUCUUCAAACCCACACAACUAAUAUAAAGUAAUCAACCUCCCCACCUCAAUAACCUGAAGUUAAACAUCACACAAUAAGCCCUGAACAGAGAGCUGUAGGUCAAUGUUCCAUUUUGCUUUUAAAAGCUUCACAAGAACAUUUCAUUUAUUAAAAUAGUUUCUGUAAACUCUUUCAGAAUAACAAAAUUCACUUGCCUUGCUUAAACAGCAUUUCAAGUAGAAGUAUUUUUAUUUCAAGGCACCAUAAAAUGAUGAUCUCUCUAAGAAAUACCUCUCCUUC